RNAcentral lists this ribosomal RNA (460 nucleotides) under uncultured bacterium. RNAcentral's name for it is "partial 16S ribosomal RNA". It matches the Rfam family "Bacterial small subunit ribosomal RNA", at positions 338 to 795 of the family's 1533-position model. The record is from RNAcentral.
CCUACGGGCGGCAGCAGUGAGGAAUAUUGGUCAAUGGACGAGAGUCUGAACCAGCCAAGUAGCGUGAAGGAUGACUGCCCUAUGGGUUGUAAACUUCUUUUAUAUGGGAAUAAAAUGUUCCACGUGUGGGAUUUUGUAUGUACCAUAUGAAUAAGGAUCGGCUAACUCCGUGCCAGCAGCCGCGGUAAUACGGAGGAUCCGAGCGUUAUCCGGAUUUAUUGGGUUUAAAGGGAGCGUAGGUGGAUUGUUAAGUCAGUUGUGAAAGUUUGCGGCUCAACCGUAAAAUUGCAGUUGAAACUGGCAGUCUUGAGUACAGUAGAGGUGGGCGGAAUUCGUGGUGUAGCGGUGAAAUGCUUAGAUAUCACGAAGAACUCCGAUUGCGAAGGCAGUUCACUGGACUGCAACCGACACUGAGGCUCGAAAGUGUGGGUAUCAAACAGGAUUAGAUACCCUAGUAGUC